RNAcentral lists this ribosomal RNA (365 nucleotides) under uncultured bacterium. RNAcentral describes it as "bacterial SSU rRNA". It matches the Rfam family "Bacterial small subunit ribosomal RNA", at positions 518 to 887 of the family's 1533-position model. The record is from RNAcentral.
CGGUAAUACGGAGGAUCCAAGCGUUAUCCGGAAUCAUUGGGUUUAAAGGGUCCGUAGGCGGUCAGAUAAGUCAGUGGUGAAAGCCCAUCGCUCAACGGUGGAACGGCCAUUGAUACUGUCUGACUUGAAUUAUUAGGAAGUAACUAGAAUAUGUAGUGUAGCGGUGAAAUGCUUAGAGAUUACAUGGAAUACCAAUUGCGAAGGCAGGUUACUACUAAUGGAUUGACGCUGAUGGACGAAAGCGUGGGUAGCGAACAGGAUUAGAUACCCUGGUAGUCCACGCCGUAAACGAUGGAUACUAGCUGUUGGGAGCAAUCUCAGUGGCUAAGCGAAAGUGAUAAGUAUCCCACCUGGGGAGUACGUUC